GGUCACACCCGUUCCCAUACCGAACACGGAAGUUAAGCUCUUUAGCGCCGAUGGUAGUUGGGGGCUUCCCCCUGUGAGAGUAGGACGUCGCUAGGC
RNAcentral lists this ribosomal RNA (96 nucleotides) under Ureibacillus chungkukjangi. Lineage: Bacteria; Bacillati; Bacillota; Bacilli; Caryophanales; Caryophanaceae. RNAcentral also lists the same sequence under 1 other name. The record is from RNAcentral.